Molecule: ribosomal RNA, 401 nt
Filed under: uncultured bacterium
Lineage: Bacteria
Description: bacterial SSU rRNA
Rfam family: Bacterial small subunit ribosomal RNA
Source: RNAcentral
GGGGAAUAUUGGACAAUGGGGGCAACCCUGAUCCAGCCAUGCCGCGUGAGUGAUGAAGGCCUUCGGGUUGUAAAGCUCUUUUGGCGGGGACGAUGAUGACGGUACCCGCAGAAUAAGCCCCGGCUAACUUCGCGCCAGCAGCCGCGGUAAGACGAAGGGGGCAAGCGUUGUUCGGAAUUACUGGGCGUAAAGGGCGCGUAGGCGGUUUGCUUAGUCAGGCGUGAAAGCCCUGGGCUUAACCUGGGAUGUGCGCUUGAUACUGGCAGGCUUGAGUGUGGGAGAGGUUGGUCGAAUUCCCAGUGUAGAGGUGAAAUUCGUAGAUAUUGGGAAGAACACCGGUGGCGAAGGCGGCCAACUGGACCACAACUGACGCUGAGGCGCGAAAGCGUGGGGAGCAAACA